GCUAGCUUCAGAUUUGUUCCCACCAAUUCCACUGUUACGUUUACAAAACAGCUCUUGGGAACGAUUCAAAUCAUAUGCUAACUUUAGCUCGUAGCAAUAACAAAACUCAUGCUAACGUUAUUUAGCUCAGCUAGAAGACGUUAGAAAGGUUGUCAGUCAUUCUGAGACACUGUAAAUUCAUAUAAACAUUUCUUUUUUUACUUUUUCUAGUUGGAACAGUUGAUUGUGGCACAUUGUUGUCACUGCACCUCCCCCUUCAGCACUUGGGACUCCAGGCAGCUGUGUGUGGCCUGUGGCAAGAACUGGACAAAUGUGAAAACAUUUAGAUCAGCGGAGCACCUUUGUGAAGCUGCAUUCCCGUAUGCAACACCAGCUACGAAGAGAACGUCUGAGCAGAGGGGGGGUUGGGAGGUGCU
Gambusia affinis (western mosquitofish) is the source of this 416-nucleotide long non-coding RNA. RefSeq lists it as uncharacterized. The transcript has 3 exons. NCBI's taxonomy places the organism in Eukaryota, Metazoa, Chordata, Actinopteri, Cyprinodontiformes, Poeciliidae. The record is from RefSeq and is a predicted model, not a curated record.